Long non-coding RNA from Protopterus annectens (West African lungfish), 1555 nucleotides. RefSeq lists it as uncharacterized. The record is from RefSeq and is a predicted model, not a curated record. NCBI's taxonomy places the organism in Eukaryota, Metazoa, Chordata, Ceratodontiformes, Protopteridae. The transcript has 3 exons.
AGAGCUGGCAUUAAUCAACUCAAAAUUCAAGCACAGAAAGGAAAAAGUCAGUCGUUCCUGCUUCCCUAUUGAGGAAAAAAGUUUUCAUACUUGGCCACAGAGUUCAAAACAAUCCAUAUUUCUAUCGGUGGAGCAUCAAGUCUCCAGCAGCUGUUCGGUAACUUUGCAAAUCCGUUUUUAUUGUUCUAGUUUAAUGAAAUAAAUUCAGGAGCAGCGCCAUUUUCUGCACUUCAACAAACCCCAAGUGCAAUGAAUACAAAAAAAAAAAAAAAAAAAAACUUGGAAAUACGCCAUCAAAAAGCUAGCUCUCCGUAUGAAGGAGAGAGAAAAGCACAUGAGGAAAGAAGAAGGCAGCAAACAGCCAUGAAAAUCAUAACAGGCAAUCAACUGUACAUUAUGCAAAGCCAAAGUAUGCAAGGAGAUAGAAGAAAGGAAUGCAAUUUUUGUUUACCUGGGUCAGGCAGUAUGGGGAGUACAUGGCUGGGACUUUUUUGGAAUAUUUUGGAAGACUUUUUUCACAUGGAGAGAAGCUGGCUAUGUAGCUGCAUUUCUAAAGCUGCUCCCUCCCUCUCUCGCUGGCUCGCUGUCUCUCCCUCUCUCUCUCUCUCUCUCCCUACUCCAUGCUCAACAGUAACUCCGCCUCACAACAGCCCCCUGAAAGUGAAAGUUUAGAGAAAGUUUGCAAAAGACUUCUGUGCAAGAAUACUCCCCCCCCCAAAAAAAAAAAAAUCCACACAGCCACCAGCAAUUUAGGCUGACUUUAAUAAGAAGUAGACAAGUAGACAGAAGAAAUAAAGAACACAUUUAAAUCAUUAACUUUAUAGGGACUUGGAAAUAAACUGAAAGGUCAAAAACAGAAGAUGACAGAAUGUCUCUUGGAAAACAGCAGGAGGAACCAUUACAAAAAAGAAAAUCCCUGGGAUAUAAGUCUAUCACAUGCUACUCCAGCAGAAAAUAAUGGAACAGUAGGUGAUAUCUGAAUGUGAUACUUGACAAAGCAAUUUGCUUCUACUUUUUGGUGAUGCAAGCUAGGCUAUCCUAUAGAACCCCAUCUCCUAACCCCCUGUGAAGAAUGUGACAGGAGCUGUACAGGAAAGUUAUAACACCACCUUGUCAAAGAUAGAAACUGUCUUCAAAAGAGUCUUUGGCCUGCUUAAAGCCCAUUUCCACUGACUGGAUGAGACUGGGAGCACCCUUCAAUAUGACCCUGCUACAGCACGUAGGAUGUUUACCAUAUGUUGCAGUCUGCAAUUAUGAUCAUGCACCAGUAUGGUGAUAAAAUGUCCCAUAAUGUCACUACAGCUGUCAGUACAGGUUCUACCAUGAAUGAUGAUAGUGUCGAUGGCAAGUUGGCAGUAGAAGAAGAAACCCCAUGCAGGAGGCUAAUGCACUGUAUACGGCUGUGCAGCUAAAGAGGCGGCAUCUAGUCCACAACUAUGGACUAUUCACAUUAUUCAUUACAAAAAAACACAGAGAAUAAUUGGUGCAUGCAUUGCUUUGUGUGGGCUGUGCUGUAUAGUGAAUGGCCUACUGCUACUGUUCAUGAGACAAGUCA